UACCCUCAGGAGGGGGAUAACCCGGGAAACUGGGGAUAAUACCCCAUAGGCCAGGCAUGCUGGAAUGCCUCCUGGUUCAAAGGUCCGCCGCCUGAGGAUGGGUCUGCGGCCGAUUAGGUUGUUGUUGGGGUAACGGCCCAACAAGCCUUUGAUCGGUACGGGUUGUGAGAGCAAGAGCCCGGAGAUGGAUUCUGAGACACGAAUCCAGGCCCUACGGGGCGCAGCAGGCGCGAAAACUUUACAAUGCGAGAAAUCGUGAUAAGGGAACCCCGAGUGCCCGUAAAUUCGGGCUGUCCGCCAGUGCAAAUAGCUGGUGAAGAAAGGGCCGGGCAAGACCGGUGCCAGCCGCCGCGGUAAUACCGGCGGCUCGAGUGGUGGCCACUAUUACUGGGCUUAAAGCGU
This 402-nucleotide ribosomal RNA is filed under the name uncultured Methanolinea sp. RNAcentral describes it as "bacterial SSU rRNA". It matches the Rfam family "Archaeal small subunit ribosomal RNA", at positions 110 to 518 of the family's 1478-position model. Lineage: Archaea; Methanobacteriati; Methanobacteriota; Methanomicrobia; Methanomicrobiales; Methanoregulaceae. The record is from RNAcentral.